UACGGAGGGUGCAAGCGUUAUCCGGAUUCACUGGGUUUAAAGGGUGCGUAGGCGGCGUGUCAAGUCAAUUGUGAAAUCUCCGGGCUUAACUCGGAACGGUCAAUUGAUACUGAUGUGCUAGAGUGCAGAAGGGGCAAUCGGAAUUCUUGGUGUAGCGGUGAAAUGCGUAGAUAUCAAGAGGAACACCUGAGGUGAAGACGGGUUGCUGGGCUGACACUGACGCUGAGGCGCGAAAGCUAGGGUAGCAAACGGG
This 253-nucleotide ribosomal RNA is filed under the name uncultured bacterium. RNAcentral describes it as "partial 16S ribosomal RNA". It matches the Rfam family "Bacterial small subunit ribosomal RNA", at positions 524 to 776 of the family's 1533-position model. The record is from RNAcentral.